Molecule: ribosomal RNA, 504 nt
Filed under: uncultured bacterium
Lineage: Bacteria
Description: partial 16S ribosomal RNA
Rfam family: Bacterial small subunit ribosomal RNA
Source: RNAcentral
GAUGAACGCUAGCGGCAGGCUUAACACAUGCAAGUCGAGGGGCAGCAUAAAUAGUAGCAAUACUAUUGGUGGCGACCGGCGGACGGGUGCGUAACGCGUAUACAACCUUCCCUAAACAGGGGGAUAAUCUGGAGAAAUUCGGUCUAAUACCCCAUAACAUCAGAGCAGGCAUCUGUUUUGGUUAAAAUUUCCGGAGGUGUAGGAUGGGUAUGCGUAGAAUUAGCUAGUUGGUGAGGUAACGGCUCACCAAGGCGACGAUGCUUAGGGGGACUGAGAGGUUAACCCCCCACACUGGUACUGAGACACGGACCAGACUCCUACGGGAGGCAGCAGUGAGGAAUAUUGGUCAAUGGGCGGAAGCCUGAACCAGCCAUGCCGCGUGCAGGAUGACGGCUCUAUGAGUUGUAAACUGCUUUUGUACGAGGGUAAAGUGGGCUACGUGUAGCCUUUUGAAAGUAUCGUACGAAUAAGGAUCGGCUAACUCCGUGCCAGCCGCCGCAGUAA